AUCUGGGAGAAUAUAGCACCACCCAUGGUUUAAGUUAUGACUGAAAGCAGAUGCUGAUCUUUGUUUUUUGCUCCUGAUUGUCUAUGAAGGUCAACAAUCCGAGAUAAAAUCAUUCCACAUGCAGUGUCAUGGUUCACCGGGGAAGCUGCUGAGGAUGAUUAUGCUGAGUUGGAAGAUGACGAGGAUGAAGAUGAUGAUGAAGAGGAUGAUGAGGACGAGGAUGAGGAGGAUGAAGAAGAAGAUGAGGACGAAGAGGAGGAUGAAGAUGAGAC
This 272-nucleotide long non-coding RNA is filed under the name Nicotiana tabacum (common tobacco). RNAcentral's name for it is "long non-coding RNA (NTAB_LNC012926)". The record is from RNAcentral. Lineage: Eukaryota; Viridiplantae; Streptophyta; Magnoliopsida; Solanales; Solanaceae.